This 500-nucleotide ribosomal RNA is filed under the name uncultured bacterium. RNAcentral's name for it is "partial 16S ribosomal RNA". It matches the Rfam family "Bacterial small subunit ribosomal RNA", at positions 30 to 523 of the family's 1533-position model. The record is from RNAcentral.
AUUGGACGCUGGCGGCAUGCCUUACACAUGCAAGUCGAACGGCAGCACGGGAGCAAUCCUGGUGGCGAGUGGCGAACGGGUGAGUAAAGUAUCGGAACGUGCCCAGUCGUGGGGGAUAACGUAGCGAAAGUUACGCUAAUACCGCAUACGAUCUAUGGAUGAAAGCGGGGGAUCGCAAGACCUCGCGCGAUUGGAGCGGCCGAUAUCAGUUUAGGUAGUUGGUGGGGUAAAGGCUCACCAAGCCGACGAUCUGUAGCUGGUCUGAGAGGACGACCAGCCACACUGGGACUGAGACACGGCCCAGACUCCUACGGGAGGCAGCAGUGGGGAAUUUUGGACAAUGGGCGAAAGCCUGAUCCAGCCAUGCCGCGUGCAGGAUGAAGGCCUUCGGGUUGUAAACUGCUUUUGUACGGAACGAAAAGGUUUGGCCUAAUAAGCUGAGCUCAUGACGGUACCGUAAGAAUAAGCACCGGCUAACUACGUGCCAGCCGCCGCGGUAA